Molecule: ribosomal RNA, 504 nt
Filed under: uncultured bacterium
Lineage: Bacteria
Description: bacterial SSU rRNA
Rfam family: Bacterial small subunit ribosomal RNA
Source: RNAcentral
AGAGUUUGAUCAUGGCUCAGAUUGAACGCUGGCGGAAUGCUUUACACAUGCAAGUCGAGCGGCAGCGCGGGGCAACCUGGCGGCGAGCGGCGAACGGGUGAGUAAUAGCAUCGGAACAUGUCCAUGUCGUGGGGGAUAGCCCGGCGAAAGCCGGAUUAAUACCGCAUACGCUCGAGAGAGGAAAGCCGGGGACCGCAAGGCCUGGCGCGAUUGGGUUGGCCGAUGUCCGAUUAGCUAGUUGGUGAGGUAAAGGCUUACCAAGGCGAUGAUCGGUAGCUGGUCUGAGAGGAUGAUCAGCCACACUGGGACUGAGACACGGCCCAGACUCCUACGGGAGGCAGCAGUGGGGAAUUUUGGACAAUGGGGGCAACCCUGAUCCAGCCAUUCCGCGUGAGUGAAGAAGGCCUUCGGGUUGUAAAGCUCUUUUGUCCGGAGCGAAACGGAAGUGGUGAAUAUCCACUUCUACUGACGGUACCGGAAGAAUAAGCACCGGCUAACUACGUG